This 75-nucleotide transfer RNA is filed under the name Treponema sp. Its description in RNAcentral is "tRNA-Val". It matches the Rfam family "tRNA". From Rfam's summary of the family: Transfer RNA (tRNA) molecules are approximately 80 nucleotides in length. Their secondary structure includes four short double-helical elements and three loops (D, anti-codon, and T loops). The record is from RNAcentral. Lineage: Bacteria; Pseudomonadati; Spirochaetota; Spirochaetia; Treponematales; Treponemataceae.
GGGCGAUUAACACAGCGGGAGAGUGCUACCUUCACACGGUAGAAGGCACUGGUUCAAAUCCAGUAUCGCCCACCA